UGUCACACUUGCAAUGAGAGC
RNAcentral lists this microRNA (21 nucleotides) under Marchantia polymorpha subsp. ruderalis. Lineage: Eukaryota; Viridiplantae; Streptophyta; Marchantiopsida; Marchantiales; Marchantiaceae. The record is from RNAcentral.